This 554-nucleotide ribosomal RNA is filed under the name uncultured bacterium. RNAcentral describes it as "partial 16S ribosomal RNA". It matches the Rfam family "Bacterial small subunit ribosomal RNA", at positions 355 to 900 of the family's 1533-position model. The record is from RNAcentral.
UAGGGAAUCUUCCACAAUGGACGCAAGUCUGAUGGAGCAACGCCGCGUGAGUGAAGAAGGUUUUCGGACCGUAAAGCUCUGUUGUUGGUGAAGAAGGAUAGAGGUAGUAACUGGCCUUUAUUUGACGGUAAUCAACCAGAAAGUCACGGCUAACUACGUGCCAGCAGCCGCGGUAAUACGUAGGUGGCAAGCGUUGUCCGGAUUUAUUGGGCGUAAAGCGAGCGCAGGCGGAAGAAUAAGUCUGAUGUGAAAGCCCUCGGCUUAACCGAGGAAUUGCAUCGGAAACUGUUUUCUUGAGUGCAGGAGAGGAGAGUAGAACUCCAUGUGUAGCGGUGGAAUGCGUAGAUAUAUGGAAGAAUACCAGUGGCGAAGGCGGCUCUCUGGUCUGCAACUGACGCUGAGGCUCGAAAGCAUGGGUAGCGAACAGGAUUAGAUACCCUGGUAGUCCAUGCCGUAAACGAUGAGUGCUAAGUGUUGGGAGGCUUCCGCCUCUCAGUGCUGCAGCUAACGCAUUAAGCACUCCGCCUGGGGGAGUACGACCGCAAGGUUGAAAC